UGGGGAAUAUUGCACAAUGGGCGCAAGCCUGAUGCAGCCAUGCCGCGUGUAUGAAGAAGGCCUUCGGGUUGUAAAGUACUUUCAGCGGGGAGGAAGGCGAUAAGGUUAAUAACCUUGUCGAUUGACGUUACACGCAGAAGAAGCACCGGCUAACUCCGUGCCAGCAGCCGCGGUAAUACGGAGGGUGCAAGCGUUAAUCGGAAUUACUGGGCGUAAAGCGCACGCAGGCGGUCUGUCAAGUCGGAUGUGAAAUCCCCGGGCUCAACCUGGGAACUGCAUUCGAAACUGGCAGGCUAGAGUCUUGUAGAGGGGGGUAGAAUUCCAGGUGUAGCGGUGAAAUGCGUAGAGAUCUGGAGGAAUACCGGUGGCGAAGGCGGCCCCCUGGACAAAGACUGACGCUCAGGUGCGAAAGCGUGGGGAGCAAACA
Molecule: ribosomal RNA, 427 nt
Filed under: uncultured bacterium
Lineage: Bacteria
Description: partial 16S ribosomal RNA
Rfam family: Bacterial small subunit ribosomal RNA
Source: RNAcentral